GGAAUAUUGCACAAUGGGCGCAAGCCUGAUGCAGCCAUGCCGCGUGUGUGAAGAAGGCCUUCGGGUUGUAAAGCACUUUCAGCGGGGAGGAAGGCGGUGAGGUUAAUAACCUCAUCGAUUGACGUUACCCGCAGAAGAAGCACCGGCUAACUCCGUGCCAGCAGCCGCGGUAAUACGGAGGGUGCAAGCGUUAAUCGGAAUUACUGGGCG
This 210-nucleotide ribosomal RNA is filed under the name Klebsiella pneumoniae. Its description in RNAcentral is "partial 16S ribosomal RNA". It matches the Rfam family "Bacterial small subunit ribosomal RNA", at positions 358 to 560 of the family's 1533-position model. The record is from RNAcentral. Lineage: Bacteria; Pseudomonadati; Pseudomonadota; Gammaproteobacteria; Enterobacterales; Enterobacteriaceae.